Molecule: ribosomal RNA, 459 nt
Filed under: uncultured bacterium
Lineage: Bacteria
Description: partial 16S ribosomal RNA
Rfam family: Bacterial small subunit ribosomal RNA
Source: RNAcentral
CCUACGGGAGGCAGCAGUGAGGAAUAUUGGUCAAUGGGCGCGAGCCUGAACCAGCCAAGUCGCGUGAGGGAAGACGGUCCUAUGGAUUGUAAACCUCUUUUGUCGGGGAGCAAAAGACGCCACGCGUGGCGUUCCGAGCGGACCCGACGAAAAAGCAUCGGCUAACUCCGUGCCAGCAGCCGCGGUAAUACGGAGGAUGCGGGCGUUAUCCGGAUGUAUGGGGUUUAAAGGGUGCGCGGGCGGAAACUCAAGUCAGCGGUAAAAUUGAGAGGCUCAACCUCUUCGAGCAGUUGAAACUGGUUUGCGUGAGUGAGUGAGAGGGAUGCGGAAUGCGUGGUGUAGCGGUGAAAUGCAUAGAUAUCACGCAGAACUCCGAUGGCGAAGGCAGCAUACCGGAGCUCAACUGACGCUCAUGCACGAAAGUGUGGGUAUCGAACAGGAUUAGAUACCCGUGUAGUC